CCUACUGGGGGCAGCAGUGGGGAAUAUUGCACAAUGGGGGAAACCCUGAUGCAGCGACGCCGCGUGCGUGAAGACGUAUUUCGGUAUGUAAAGCUCUAUCAGCAGGGAAGAUAAUGACGGUACCUGACUAAGAAGCCCCGGCUAACUACGUGCCAGCAGCCGCGGUAAUACGUAGGGGGCCAGCGUUAUCCGGAUUUACUGGGUGUAAAGGGUGCGUAGGUGGCAGGGCAAGUCAGAGGUGAAAGGCCGGGGCUCAACCCCGGUACUGCAGUUGAAACCGUCCAGCUGGAGUGCCGGGGAGGUAAGCGGAAUUCGUGGUGUAGCGGUGAAAUGCGUAGAUAUUAGGAGGAACACCGGUGGCGAAGGCGGCUUACGGGACUGUAACUGACGCUGAGGCACGAAGGCGUGGGGAGCAAACAGGAUUAGAUACCCUUGUAGUC
This 440-nucleotide ribosomal RNA is filed under the name uncultured bacterium. RNAcentral describes it as "partial 16S ribosomal RNA". It matches the Rfam family "Bacterial small subunit ribosomal RNA", at positions 338 to 795 of the family's 1533-position model. The record is from RNAcentral.